RNAcentral lists this long non-coding RNA (1873 nucleotides) under Oreochromis niloticus (Nile tilapia). Its description in RNAcentral is "lncRNA (ENSONIG00000043205.1)". Lineage: Eukaryota; Metazoa; Chordata; Actinopteri; Cichliformes; Cichlidae. The record is from RNAcentral.
AUGCCCAUGCACCUCGUCAGCAGGCCUGGUGAGAACUAUGGUCUUCACCAAACCUGCACACAGCAGCUGCUCAGCCGAGCCGCUGCCUUCACUCACGCACGGAGGGUAUCCACACGCCUUCAAGUCAACAUGAUGCUUUCCGUGGCUCGUUACAAACGAUCUGAGAUAUAUGAAGUAAGUUUCUACCAGAGCCAAAUGUUAUCGACUCCUCACUGAAGUCGUCCACCAGUCCAACCACUGGAAUCCAGCUGCUGCUCUCUAACUGAUCCACACAGCAGCUCAGACCUGACACAUUCACUGUAAACACACUGGUUUAUAUUCUGUUUGUUCUCCUCAUGAAGGAAACCUCAGAAGGUCUGAAAUGUGAGUGUGUGUCUUCCCCUCACUGGUUGUUUCUGUCUGAUGGAAACAUGAAUUCUUGUGGCUAACAAACACACCUGUCUGAGAUAACAAAGAACAAACAUGAGUCGACUUCAGCCACAAAGUAAAAGCUGCAGGAACAUUUGGUCAGUUUUUCUCUCAGGAGUCAUAAAGAGAACAUCUGUAACAUCUGUUACUCGGACGAUCGUUGUCAGAAAGUCAAUAACUGUGAUGGCUGCAGUCACAGCCACAGAGUGGUAAUAUCCACCAAAUUUUAGUCUAAAGGCUUACACAACACCAAACUCGCAUUAUUUGUUUCUUUAAAGGUCCUGCAUCAGUGUUUCCCAAACACGACACAUGUUUAACAUUAAAAAAACACCACCAAACCAAAAAGUCACAAUAAGUGUAUUGAUAAUUUUCCCCGUGCACCAGGCAUAGCGGACUUGGCUCAGUUUUUCCUCAGUAUACCUUUUUUGCUUUCUUCUGACCACUAAUCCUGCUAGUGCCUGGGUCAGAAUUCUCUCCAGGACCCAGGUCAGACUGACUACUUUUUCUUUUCAGAUACUUAUCUAUACGCGCCACGUUAUCUCACUCACAGCAUGACUUUUAUGUAGCAGCUGUAUUACUCACCCCGGCUCCUUAGAGUCCUAAUCAGGUGGAACCAGUCUUCAUAAGAGAAUGAAUCACUGUUUAUGUGAUGUCACUGUGAGAUACAAUGAUUUAAAAUCUGAAUAUUAACACAUCAAUGUGAAAAUGUAAACAGUGUACAGAUAUAAAUAUUUAUGGCUGAUUUGUCACAUGGAUUCAUAUCUUAUGAAUUUAUAUUUAUCACUUAUUUUAACAGGUACCAGAUGUGGUUUGUAAAAUGAUGGACAUUCUUUUACUCUAUUAAUAAACUGCCUUCAUGUACAGUGUGUAGGGUUUUUCUUUCUGAGUGAAAUUGUCUUCAACAGACAGUAACGUGUAUAUGUUAGAGCGCCCUCCAGUGGAGUUAGACUGUGCUUCUGUUUCUAUGUGGCCCACUGCGCAUGCUCAUCAGGAUGUUCCUCACAUACAAACAACAUGUGUGUCUCUGAGCAGCUUUUACCAACCACCGUAGAAAUUCAUGAGACUGUAAUAAGUGUAUUGAUGCUUAUUGCAGCUCUGUCAGCUGUCAGGGCUGCAGGGGGGUUGUAUUCACAGGAAGUGACCACUGCUACCAGAAAUAUCACGGUGUGACAGGUAUCAGGUGUGACGUCACCUGAAAGCAGGUUAUACUUGAUGAUGGUAUUUAUUUAUUUAUUUUUGUCAAGCUUGAUUCUUUAACAAGAAAGUGAUUUGCUGCUGUGCCAAGAUUAAACCAUGGCCUCGUGCUGCCAUCUACUGACAUUAAAGUGUAACAACACUCUCCAACUCUGAGUCUGCUCUGCGCUCAUGUAAGUUUAAUGUUUCCACUUUGUGAAUGUGCAGUAGCUGUUUUGUGUCUGAUAUGGAGGAAACUUCACACUAACAGGUGUAAACUUUACAAAAUGUC